Molecule: ribosomal RNA, 206 nt
Filed under: uncultured bacterium
Lineage: Bacteria
Description: partial 16S ribosomal RNA
Rfam family: Bacterial small subunit ribosomal RNA
Source: RNAcentral
UACGUAGGGGGCAAGCGUUGUCCGGAAUCAUUGGGCGUAAAGCGCGUGUAGGCGGCCCGGUAAGUCCGCUGUGAAAGUCCAGGGCUCAACCCUGGAAUGCCGGUGGAUACUGUCGGGCUCGAGUCCGGAAGAGGCGAGUGGAAUUCCUGGUGUAGCGGUGAAAUGCGCAGAUAUCUGGAGGAACACCGGUGGCGAAGGCGGGUCUG